Molecule: ribosomal RNA, 253 nt
Filed under: uncultured bacterium
Lineage: Bacteria
Description: partial 16S ribosomal RNA
Rfam family: Bacterial small subunit ribosomal RNA
Source: RNAcentral
UACGUAGGGGGCGAGCGUUAAUCGGAAUUACUGGGCGUAAAGCGUGCGCAGGCGGCUCUUCAAGUCAGAUGUGAAAGCCCCGGGCUUAACCUGGGAAUGGCGUUUGAAACUGGAGGGCUGGAGUGUGGCAGAGGGAGGUGGAAUUCCACGUGUAGCAGUGAAAUGCGUAGAGAUGUGGAGGAACACCGAUGGCGAAGGCAGCCUCCUGGGCCAACACUGACGCUCAUGCACGAAAGCGUGGGGAGCAAACAGG